UGCGGACAGUGUCUGGUGGGUAGUUUGACUGGGGCGGUCUCCUCCUAAAGAGUAACGGAGGAGCACGAAGGUUGGCUAAUCCUGGUCGGACAUCAGGAGGUUAGUGCAAUGGCAUAAGCCAGCUUGACUGCGAGCGUGACGGCGCGAGCAGGUGCGAAAGCAGGUCAUAGUGAUCCGGUGGUUCUGAAUGGAAGGGCCAUCGCUCAACGGAUAAAAGGUACUCCGGGGAUAACAGGCUGAUACCGCCCAAGAGUUCAUAUCGACGGCGGUGUUUGGCACCUCGAUGUCGGCUCAUCACAUCCUGGGGCUGAAGUAGGUCCCAAGGGUAUGGCUGUUCGCCAUUUAAAGUGGUACGCGAGCUGGGUUUAGAACGUCGUGAGACAGUUCGGUCCCUAUCUGCCGUGGGCGCUGGAGAACUGAGGGGGGCUGCUCCUAGUACGAGAGGACCGGAGUGGACGCAUCACUGGUGUUCGGGUUGUCAUGCCAAUGGCACUGCCCGGUAGCUAAAUGCGGAAGAGAUAAGUGCUGAAAGCAUCUAAGCACGAAACUUGCCCCGAGAUGAGUUCUCCCUGAGACUUAGAGUCUCCUGAAGGAACGUUGAAGACGACGACGUUGAUAGGCCGGGUGUGUAAGCGCAGCGAUGCGUUGAGCUAACCGGUACUAAUGAACCGUGAGGCUUAACCUUACA
RNAcentral lists this ribosomal RNA (688 nucleotides) under Salmonella enterica. RNAcentral's name for it is "partial 23S ribosomal RNA". It matches the Rfam family "Bacterial large subunit ribosomal RNA", at positions 2246 to 2925 of the family's 2925-position model. The record is from RNAcentral. Lineage: Bacteria; Pseudomonadati; Pseudomonadota; Gammaproteobacteria; Enterobacterales; Enterobacteriaceae. RNAcentral also lists the same sequence under 1 other name.